This 399-nucleotide ribosomal RNA is filed under the name uncultured bacterium. Its description in RNAcentral is "bacterial SSU rRNA". It matches the Rfam family "Bacterial small subunit ribosomal RNA", at positions 30 to 430 of the family's 1533-position model. The record is from RNAcentral.
AUUGAACGCUGGCGGCAUGCCUUACACAUGCAAGUCGAACGGCAGCACGGGAGCAAUCCUGGUGGCGAGUGGCGAACGGGUGAGUAAUAUAUCGGAACGUGCCCAGUCGUGGGGAUAACGUAGCGAAAGCUACGCUAAUACCGCAUACGAUCUAUGGAUGAAAGCGGGGGAUCGCAAGACCUCGCGCGAUUGGAGCGGCCGAUAUCAGAUUAGGUAGUUGGUGAGGUAAAGGCUCACCAAGCCGACGAUCUGUAGCUGGUCUGAGAGGACGACCAGCCACACUGGGACUGAGACAGGCCCAGACUCCUACGGAGGCAGCAGUGGGGAAUUUUUGGGACAAUGGGCGCCAAGCCUGAUCCAGCAAUAGCCGCGUGCAGGAUGAAGGCCUCGGUUGUAACG